GACGAACGCUGGCGGCGUGCUUAACACAUGCAAGUCGAACGAUGAAACCUAGCUUGCUAGGUCGAUUAGUGGCGAACGGGUGAGUAACACGUGACUAACCUGCCCCUAACUCUGGGAUAACUGCUGGAAACGGUAGCUAAUACUGGAUACGACCUACGAAGGCAUCUUCUGUAGGUGGAAAGAAUUUCGGUUCGGGAUGGACUCGCGGCCUAUCAGCUUGCUGGUGAGGUAAUGGCUCACCAAGGCGACGACGGGUAGCCGGCCUGAGAGGGUGACCGGCCACACUGGGACUGAGACACGGCCCAGACUCCUACGGGAGGCAGCAGUGGGGAAUAUUGCACAAUGGGCGCAAGCCUGAUGCAGCAACGCCGCGUGAGGGAUGACGGCCUUCGGGUUGUAAACCUCUUUUUGUAGGGAAGAAGCGAAAGUGACGGUACCUGCAGAAAAAGCACCGGCUAACUACGUGCCAGCCGCCGCCGUAA
This 482-nucleotide ribosomal RNA is filed under the name uncultured bacterium. RNAcentral's name for it is "partial 16S ribosomal RNA". It matches the Rfam family "Bacterial small subunit ribosomal RNA", at positions 28 to 523 of the family's 1533-position model. The record is from RNAcentral.